AGAACGAACGCUGGCGGCAGGCUUAACACAUGCAAGUCGAGCGCCCCGCAAGGGGAGCGGCAGACGGGUGAGUAACGCGUGGGAACGUACCCCCCGGUUCGGAAUAACUCAGGGAAACUUGAGCUAAUACCGGAUACGGCUGGAAGGCGAAAGAUUUAUCGCCGGGGGAUCGGCCCGCGUCCGAUUAGCUAGUUGGUGUGGUAAUGGCGCACCAAGGCGACGAUCGGUAGCUGGUCUGAGAGGAUGAUCAGCCACAUUGGGACUGAGACACGGCCCAAACUCCUACGGGAGGCAGCAGUGGGGAAUAUUGGACAAUGGGCGAAAGCCUGAUCCAGCCAUGCCGCGUGAGUGAUGAAGGCCUUAGGGUUGUAAAGCUCUUUCACCCACGACGAUAAUGACGGUAGUGGGAGAAGAAGCCCCGGCUAACUUCGUGCCAGCAGCCGC
This 444-nucleotide ribosomal RNA is filed under the name uncultured bacterium. RNAcentral's name for it is "SSU rRNA". It matches the Rfam family "Bacterial small subunit ribosomal RNA", at positions 26 to 518 of the family's 1533-position model. The record is from RNAcentral.